UACGGGGGGGGCAAGCGUUGUUCGGAAUUACUGGGCGUAAAGGGCUCGUAGGCGGCCAACUAAGUCGGACGUGAAAUCCCCUCGGCUCAACCGGGGAACUGCGUCCGAUACUGGAUGGCUUGAGUUCGGGAGAGGGAUGCGGAAUUCCAGGUGUAGCGGUGAAAUGCGUAGAUAUCUGGAGGAACACCGGUGGCGAAGGCGGCAUCCUGGACCGACACUGACGCUGAGGAGCGAAAGCCAGGGGAGCAAACGGG
RNAcentral lists this ribosomal RNA (254 nucleotides) under uncultured bacterium. RNAcentral describes it as "partial 16S ribosomal RNA". It matches the Rfam family "Bacterial small subunit ribosomal RNA", at positions 524 to 776 of the family's 1533-position model. The record is from RNAcentral.